GAGUUUGAUCCUGGCUCAGAACGAACGCUGGCGGCGCGUCUUAAGCAUGCAAGUCGAGCGGGAAUAUCCAGCUUGCUGGAUACGAGAGCGGCGGACUGGUGAGUAACGCGUGGGUGACGCACCCUUGGGCCGGGGAUAGCCUUAAGAAAUUAAGGGUAAUACCGGAUACGGUCCCUUACGUUGGAGGUAAGGGAGGAAAGGAGCCACGGCUCCACCCGAGGAACGGCCCGCGACCCAUCAGCUAGUUGGCGGGGAAAAGGCCCACCAAGGCGAUGACGGGUAUCCGGCCUCAGAGGGCGACCGGACACAUUGGGACUGAGAUACGGCCCAGACUCCUACGGGAGGCAGCAGCUAAGAAUAUUCCGCAAUGGGGGGAACCCUGACGGAGCGACGCCGCGUGGACGAUGAAGGCCGGAAGGUUGUAAAGUCCUUUUCUGACGGAGGAAGAAGUGCCGGAGGGAAUGCCGGCAUGGUGACUGUAGGUCAGGAAUAAGCACCGGCUAAUUACGUGCCAGCAGCCGCGGUAACACGUAAGGUGCGAGCGUUGUUCGGAAUCAUUGGGCGUAAAGGGCAUGUAGGCGGUCCUGCAAGUCUGGAGUGAAAUGCCGGGGCUCAACCCCGGAACUGCUUUGGAAACUGUGGGACUGGAGUCACCGAGGCGGAGCCGGAAUUCCAGGUGUAGGGGUGAAAUCUGUAGAUAUCUGGAAGAACACCAAUGGCGAAGGCAGGCUUCGAGCGGAUGACUGACGCUGAGGUGCGAAGGUGCGGGGAGCAAACAGGAUUAGAUACCCUGGUAGUCCGCACAGUAAACGAUGCACACUGGGUGUCUGGGCAAGAGCCUGGGUGCCGAAGUAAACACGGUAAGUGUGCCGCCUGGGGAGUAUGCCCGCAAGGGUGAAACUCAAAGGAAUUGACGGGGGCCCGCACAAGCGGUGGAGCAUGUGGUUUAAUUCGAUGGUACGCGAGGAACCUUACCUGGGUUUGACAUACACACCGAUGCCGGAGAGAUUCGGCAGCGCAGCAAUGCGGGUGUGAACAGGUGCUGCAUGGCUGUCGUCAGCUCGUGCCGUGAGGUGUUGGGUUAAGUCCCGCAACGAGCGCAACCCCUACUGCCAGUUGCCAGCAGGUAAGGCUGGGGACUCUGGCGGAACUGCCCCCGACAAGGGGGAGGAAGGUGGGGAUGACGUCAAGUCAGCAUGGCCCUUAUGUCCAGGGCUACACACGUGCUACAAUGGCAGGUACAGAGUGAUGCGAGGCCGUGAGGUGGAGCGAAACGCAGAAAACCUGCCGUAGUUCGGAUUGAAGUCUGAAACCCGACUUCAUGAAGUUGGAAUCGCUAGUAAUCGCGCAUCAGCACGGCGCGGUGAAUACGUUCCCGGGCCUUGUACACACCGCCCGUCACACCAUCCGAGUCGGGGAUACCCGAAGCCGGCAGGCCAACCCGCAAGGGAAGCCGCUGUCGAAGGUAUGCCUGGUGAGGGGGGUGAAGUCGUAACAAGGUAACC
This 1505-nucleotide ribosomal RNA is filed under the name uncultured rumen bacterium. Its description in RNAcentral is "bacterial SSU rRNA". It matches the Rfam family "Bacterial small subunit ribosomal RNA". The record is from RNAcentral.